RNAcentral lists this ribosomal RNA (175 nucleotides) under uncultured bacterium. RNAcentral's name for it is "partial 16S ribosomal RNA". It matches the Rfam family "Bacterial small subunit ribosomal RNA", at positions 598 to 772 of the family's 1533-position model. The record is from RNAcentral.
AAUCCCGCAGCUCAACUGCGGAGCUGCCUUUGAUAUUGGCCAUCUCGAGUCCGGAAGAGGUGAGUGGAAUUCCGAGUGUAGAGGUGAAAUUCGUAGAUAUUCGGAGGAACACCAGUGGCGAAGGCGGCUCACUGGUCCAUUACUGACGCUGAGGUGCGAAAGCGUGGGGAGCAAA